Molecule: long non-coding RNA, 580 nt
Filed under: Gossypium barbadense (sea-island cotton)
Lineage: Eukaryota; Viridiplantae; Streptophyta; Magnoliopsida; Malvales; Malvaceae
Description: long non-coding RNA (GBAR_LNC019460)
Source: RNAcentral
UGAAGCUGGUGGCAAAAAUCCAUUUGAGACCAGAGGACUUAACCUCUGCUGGUAUUCCACGGGAAUUUGAAGGCAGAAGCAUGGGGGCACCAGGGAUCGAUGCUUCGAAAAGGCAAGAUCUAUCACACCCUGUUAUGAGAAAUUGCCACAGUUAAUAAAUUAUUUUAUAUUUAUUAAAUAUUAAACUAAUAGGAAAAGGCCCUCCCACUAGUGCUUCAAGCUCCAAUGGAGGGGCAAGGGAGGGGAGCCCGGUAAAAAUGAAGUGAAUGGUGCAAUAGGGGCAUUUUUAUGCCGCAAUUGCACUUCACCUUUAAAAAGAAACAGUUGUGAAAUAAUAGCUUGAGAAUAACACUCACUCCUUAACGCUCAACUGCUAGAGGAACAAUGGUCACAAUCAACAAUAGUGUAGAAGGAUGCAUGCAUUAACUAUAGGAAAGGAAGAGACUACAGAAAAUAUACCUGGAGACGAUUAAGCACAUAAGUGUAUUUUCCCCACAGCUCUGGUCGGCUUUCCAUCAGCGAAAGAUCAAGAAUUCGGUGAAUGCACCACACUCCAAAGCUUAUUAUCAGAUCGGCUUUC